Cavia porcellus (domestic guinea pig) is the source of this 601-nucleotide long non-coding RNA. RefSeq lists it as uncharacterized. NCBI's taxonomy places the organism in Eukaryota, Metazoa, Chordata, Mammalia, Rodentia, Caviidae. The record is from RefSeq and is a predicted model, not a curated record. The transcript has 3 exons.
CGGCCAUGUGCCUGGAGCACACGGUCCUGCGGGCAGCUAGCCAGGGUUGCCAAGGCUCCCACGGGAGGCAGAGGGGCUGGGCCCCAGGAGAGCAGCUGUUUCCACACUCACAGAACAGAAGCUACUCACUCAGAGUCAGUGCUGCCAGGUUAACAUCGGGGAAGUGAUUUGCCCUAGCCCAGAAGGGACAGAAAGGCCAGGCUGUGCACAUUUUGCUUGCAGUAACCUCCACGGAGCCCACAGCCCUGGGAUGCACCCUGCAUUGUCAUCUUUACAGUAACCAGCAUUAUAAGAAGAAUAGGGUGCGACUCUAUCUGCAUUAAUGAUUUAGGACACUGAGUUUCCAAUUCAAAGAAGAAAAUUAUUUUGAAGUUCAUCUCCAUUAUUGUGACAUUGGGGAUUGAACCCAGGAUGUUUGUACUAAACUGUAUUCCCAGACCUCUUUUAAACUGUUUUGUUUUGACUUUUUAAUUUUGAGACAGAGUCUUGCUAAGUUACUAUGUAUCCCAAAUUGGGGUGAACUUGAAAUCCUCCUGCCUCAGCCUCUCAGAUUACAGGCAAAAAAAGACAUGUGAAUAAAGAACUUAUUUCCAGACCCUCA